This 446-nucleotide ribosomal RNA is filed under the name uncultured bacterium. RNAcentral describes it as "bacterial SSU rRNA". It matches the Rfam family "Bacterial small subunit ribosomal RNA", at positions 342 to 807 of the family's 1533-position model. The record is from RNAcentral.
CGGGAGGCAGCAGUUAGGAAUCUUCCACAAUGGGCGAAAGCCUGAUGGAGCGACGCCGCGUAAGGGAUGAAGGCCCUCGGGUUGUAAACCUCUAAAAGGGGGACGAUAAUGACGGUACCCCCUGAAAAGCACCGGCUAACUCCGUGCCAGCAGCCGCGGUAAUACGGAGGGUGCAAGCGUUAUCCGGAAUCACUGGGCGUAAAGGGCGUGUAGGCGGCCUGUUAAGUCCGAUGUUAAAGACCGGGGCUCAACCCCGGCACGGCGUUGGAUACUGGCAGGCUAGACGGCUGGAGAGGAAAGUGGAAUUACCAGUGUAGCGGUGGAAUGCGUAGAUACUGGUAGGAACACCCAUUGCGAAGGCAGCUUUCUGGACAGCCCGUGACGCUGAGGCGCGAAAGUGUGGGGAGCAAACCGGAUUAGAUACCCGGGUAGUCCACACCCUAAAC